RNA transcript from Asparagus officinalis (garden asparagus), 2623 nucleotides. It is a transcript of the gene named sulfoquinovosyl transferase SQD2-like, with no coding region annotated. NCBI's taxonomy places the organism in Eukaryota, Viridiplantae, Streptophyta, Magnoliopsida, Asparagales, Asparagaceae. The transcript has 4 exons. The record is from RefSeq and is a predicted model, not a curated record.
UCUCAGAAUGAGAUUUCUAAUUUUGAAGAACGCGUCUGUUUAGUAUGCAUAUAUCGACAAUUAGAAAUUUGAGAAUUGCACUCUGCUCCCCCUACGCCUAGCGUUCAGCUUUUUCUUGAAGAUCCAUGUGUAGCUUGCAAUCAUUUUCCCCUCCGAUAGUGUUACCAGUUUUCGUGUGCCCGCUUCACUUUUGAAACCGAGACAGAGACCGAUCUCUGAUGUUCUCACUUCCCCUUCUGUACACCGUACGCCCCCAAACUGUUCGACGAAAUGCCUCAACGAUUAACACUCUACUUCAACUCCAUCAUACGAGCUCCCCUCAUCAAGGGCUCCCCUCUCGUCUCCCUCCUACACCUCAAAACCCUUAUCGGACCCCUCCCCCUUCGACCCGAUGCCCGAACCUUCUCCCUCACCCUUCGGUCAUCGCAACUCCUAGCGAGACCCGAACCCGCAUUGCAAACCCACGCCCGGUUCAUGAAAACCGGCUACAAGCUCGACCCUGCUCCCCUCUUCCACUUCUACAUGCAAUGCAAUCUCAUGCCUGAAACCCGGCAGCUGUUUAUCGAGUCCUUUCGGUUCAAACCUGACCCGAUACCCGGUAACCUGUUGAUAGCUGCAUUGAUGAGGAACGGGGAGGCUGGGCUGGGUAGAAAAGUGUUUGAUGAAAUGCCUGUCAAGGAUUUGGUUAGUUGGAACUCUAUUUUAGCGGGUUUGGUUCGGAAUUCGAGGUUUAAAGAUGGUUUGGUUUUUUUCGACAGGAUGGUCGGUUCGGGAGUUGAACCGGAUGGGUUCACUUUUUCUACGACUUUGUCAUGUUGUGCGAGGACGGGGGCGUUGAGUCUCGGCGAACGGGUUCAUCGGUUGAUAGUUGAGAGCCGGAGCGGGUUUAAAGUCGAGUCAAACCCGUUCGUGGCCUCAGCUCUUAUUGACAUGUACUCGAAAUGCGGUCGGAUCGAGUCAGCUCGUGACGUCUUCUGUUCGAUUGAGGUUCCGCAGUUAUCGGUUUGGAACGCGAUGAUGACCGGGCUAGCGGUUCAUGGGCGUGGGCCCGAAGCGAUCGAAUUGUUUCGUAGAAUGGAGGAAUCUGGUGUUUCACCCGACGGAAUAACAUUCGUCGGUCUACUGACAGCGUUGAGCCAUUCCGGUCUGAUUGGACCGGCUAGGGUUUAUUUCGAUUCGAUGAAUUCGGUCUACACGGUUGAACCAUCAGUCGAGCAUUAUGCUGCGAUUGUUGAUGGUUUGGGCCGGGCUGGGCAAUUGGAUGAAGCCUUGAAAACAGUUGAGGCAAUGCCAAUUGAGCCAGAUGCUAUAGUUUGGAGAUCAUUCCUUAGUGGUUGUAGAAGGCAUCGACGGCCGGAUAUGGCUGAACUGGCGAUCGGACGGAUGGAGAAAUUCGGAAGCGGAGAUUAUGUUAUGUUAUCAAACAUUUAUUCGUCCACAAAGAAGUUUAGUUGGGCCGAAAGGCCUUGGGCUUUGAUGAGAGUGCAACGGGUUAGGAAAGAAGAGGGAGUCAGCUGGGUCGAGUUGGGAGGAAAAUUGCACCAUUUUAAGGCCGGAAGCAAUAAGGCCCAAGCCCAUGUAGAAAUCGAGUCAAUAUACCAAGCUCUUGGUGAGCUUAUGAGGAGAGUGAAAAGAGAGGGGUUCAUUCCGAUGACUGAGGUUGUGCCGAUGGAUGUCGACGAGGAGGAGAAAGAGGAGAACUUGAGUUGGCAUAGCGAGAAAAUUGCGGUGGCUUAUGGCGUGUUAAAAACCGUGCCAGGGACCGAGAUUAGAGUAUCGAAGAAUUUAGCGACUUGUGGUGACUGCCAUGAAUGGAUGAAGGUGGUUUCAAAGGUUUUGCGCAGGGUGAUUAUUAUGAGAGAUAGAGUUAGAUUUCACAGGUUUGAGAGGGGAGCUUGCUCGUGUGGGGAUUAUUGGUAGCUUGCCUUAUCAAUGUUUGUUUUAUCUUUGAAGGAGCAAGGUUUUGAUGUGAUGAUACUUGCCCACGUUUCACACGGUGCAUAUUGAUAUAGAUAGUUGAUGAUACUAACUACAAUGCUCGACUUGUAAUUAAACCCAGAUACAUUCCCAGAUACACCUUCAGUUGGCUGGUGAAACCCAUGUGGAUGGUCAUAAAAUUCAUGCACGGAGCUGCUGACCUUACACUGUUGCCUUCAGCUGCUAUCAGCAGGGAUCUUCAAGCCGCUGAAGUGAUAACCGCAAAUAGGAUUCGGCUUUGGAACAAGGGUGUUGAUUCUGAGAGCUUCCACCCCCGAUUUUGCAACUGCGAAAUGCGAAUGAGGCUAAGGUACGCUACUUCUGACAUACACACGGACACACACACCUUCACACCCACACAAACAAAAAACACAUACAUUUGUAUGGCUUAGAUUUUGGCUAAAAUUGUUGUUCCUGUAUGUUUAGUAAUGGAGAACCAGAAAAACCACUGAUAAUUCAUGUGGGCCGUUUGGGAGUAGAAAAGAGCUUGGAUUUCCUAAAACAGGGAGUUACUAGUGCUGAAACUUUGCAUACUGGGAUAUUUAAUCAUGUUUUCGUUAGACAAGAAUUUGUCCUCUUUGUUUCAUGCAUUUGUCUAUUUCAUGUUUCUGGUUCUUGUGAUUCUAUAGUUAGAACAUGCGUUUAA